UAUGAAGACACACCAUUGAGACUACUGAGUCUCAGAAGUGAUACCAGGAAAGAGAAAACAUUGGCAGGAACUACCAAGAAGUAAAGGCUUUGAGACUGGAAGCAGGAAGAAACUGAGACCCAGAGACAAGGAAAUGACAUGGUAGCUUGCCUACUGUCACAUAAUAAGGAGUAGGGUCUCAAUGGUUUUGGGACAAAUGCCUGAUGACCUUAUGGAGUAGCUUGUCUCAGUGUUUCAUUUUAAGCAGAAUUCUCCAAACAAAUGGCAUCUCUAAUCUCUUCUAUCAGCUUCAGACUAUGGAAAGGAACACUGAGAAUCAAGGGGUUCCUCUCUCCUUUUGCCUCACCAGCCCUCCAUAGAGUCUCUGUCCCUUCACCGUCUCCAUUCCCUGUUACCAACCCUACUUUAUCCCCUGUACCUUCAAUCCUUACAAGAGAAAAAAGACUUGGAAUUCCCGUCAGAGGUGUUUUCAAGUAUUUGAAGAGUGUCACAGAGAAGAAUGAGAUUCCACUCAUGGAUAUCAUAUAUUUCAUUUCCAUGGCCUUCUAA
RNAcentral lists this long non-coding RNA (549 nucleotides) under Monodelphis domestica (gray short-tailed opossum). RNAcentral's name for it is "lncRNA (ENSMODG00000042144.1)". The record is from RNAcentral. Lineage: Eukaryota; Metazoa; Chordata; Mammalia; Didelphimorphia; Didelphidae.